GUUAUGGCAGCGCCAUUGGCAGUGGCGGAAUUGACGAUAGCAGUCAUUCUUUGUAUAAAAUAAUUAAUUAAAAUAUGCAGGAGUUGUUAAAGUAACAAUAGCAAUAAACACUGGAAAAUUUAACAGCAGAUACAAACAAUAACUGUCACGUGAUUGUUGUUUUUCCCCGCCAAUUUAGGUCAUGAAAAUAUUGUUGUUUAUAGAUAAAAAAUGAAAGUGUCAGCGGCUGCCAUCGAAUUAGUAGACACAAAUAUCUGUAAAUUUUGUGUGAGAAAAACGUUUUUUUUAACAUUUUAUGGUUAAAUAUCAAAUAACAGUGCACUAAGUGUGAGUGGUGAAAUCGAAAGUAAAAUUUCUAAGUUGACACCGGUGACCUAGUUUCACAAGUUCGGUCGGUGGUGUUUAUGGAUUUUAAAUCACAAAAUGGUUUGGAAAUACUUGUCAAUGAGUCAAUGCAAAGCUUGUGUUUAUUCUAGAUUACAUGUUUAUUCAUGUUUGGGUUAAUAUAGAGUAAAAACAAUGAAAGAGUUGAACACAUGUGCCAAUGACAUUUACUAAUGCCAGGAGUUGUGUGCAAAACAUCUAGAUAAAACAACACGGAAAACUAUUUUGAAUAAAUCCAUUUCAAUUUGUAAUGAACUUGGUAUUUCACUAUAAAUGAGAUUUGUUGUUGUAACCAAGGAAUACUCUUUAAAAUGAAAAAUAAAACAAACAUGAAGUAUUGAUGCCCUGUGAACGCAUGUAUACACAAAAUGGCGGAGUUGGGAGAAGAUGAAAAUAUUCGAUACAUAAUUAUGGGUUUCUCUGUUACUAUCAUUGGUACAUAAAGUUAAGUCACAUGCUAGAUUUAUUAUUUUGCUAUGUGAUUUGUAUGUACUGAUGUGGUAAUUUGCUGCAAGAUUUGAAUUUGAAAUGGAUUUGGUAAACAUCCCAUGGUAAAUAUCCCGGUCCGAUAAUAUCCGAACUUAGCAUGGAUCGGGUUACACACAACUAGGACCCCGCAUGAGUCAGACGUAACCAGUGGCAACUGCAGUGCCAGAUACUGUUGUUCUGGAUCCUUGACUCUGGCAGCCCCAGUUGCAGAAACUUUUGGUCACUACUGCCCUAUUGGAAGCCUUGAAGAAAUCCGAUACGACUCAGGGGUUUAAGAGAAUUGAAGUUACGACUAAAAUCCUUUAUUGAAACGGCCCCCUGGCACGUACCAAGACGAGACAUGACCAUCCACUUGCAAAGAAUGUCCAAAGGGUCACUUCUGUGACAAUACUAUUGCCCCGUUGGUGCUGUUCAUAUGGAUAACCAAGCGUCAAAUUUAAAACCAAGCGGAAAAGAGGCAUCUAUAUGGGAACAUUAUGCAAAUGGGCUGGGUUUAAAUUCCAGCUGGUUUUUAAAAAAAACAGGCGUAAAAUAAACCAAGCGUCAAAAAACCAAGCGUCAAAAAACAAGCGUCGAAAAACCAGGCGUCAACAAAACAACAGGCGUCAAAAGUUGGCAUUACUUGAACACAACCAGUUUGAGUUAAGAACAAUUUAUAGUUUGGAAAACAGGACAAUAAAACAUUGUUUAAUAUAUUUUCUUAAAAAAGGCACAGCUGAAAAUGUUAUUUUUUUACACAUUUUUACUAUCACUUAUUGUUUUAAGAGUUCAUAUUCUGUGUUUAAUUUGUUUUCGACAGAAUGAACCUUGUUCCGUUAUCGCCCUAUUUAGUUCUGCUUCUGUUGGUGAUUCCGCUUCAUUCUUAUUGCACCAUCUGGGAACGUAAUCUAGCUGUAAAAAUAACUUUAAAUGUAUUUAUUCAAAUGAUGAUUUCCUGAUCUAUAGCAAU
Mya arenaria is the source of this 1822-nucleotide long non-coding RNA. RefSeq lists it as uncharacterized. Lineage: Eukaryota; Metazoa; Mollusca; Bivalvia; Myida; Myidae. The record is from RefSeq and is a predicted model, not a curated record. The transcript has 4 exons.